CUACGGGACGCUCCAGUAGGGAAUAUUGGACAAUGGGCGAAAGCCUGACCCAGCAACACCGCGUGCACGAUGACGGCCUUCGGGUUGUAAAGUGCUUUUAGAGGAGAUGAGAAAGGACAGUAUCCUCUGAAUAAGCCUCGGCGAACUACGUGCCAGCAGCCGCGGUAAAACGUAGGAGGCAAGCGUUAUCCGGAUUUAUUGGGCGUAAAGCGCGUGCAGGCGGUCUAGCAAGUUGGAUGUGAAAGCUCCCGGCUCAACUGGGAGAGGUCGUUCAAUACUGUUAGACUAGAGAAUAGGAGAGGGAGGUGGAAUUCCGGGUGUAGUGGUGAAAUGCGUAGAUAUCCGGAGGAACACCAGUGGCGAAGGCGGCCUCCUGGACUAUUUCUGACGCUAAGACGCGAAAGCUAGGGUAGCAAACGGGAUUAGAUACCCGAGUAGUC
Molecule: ribosomal RNA, 440 nt
Filed under: uncultured bacterium
Lineage: Bacteria
Description: partial 16S ribosomal RNA
Rfam family: Bacterial small subunit ribosomal RNA
Source: RNAcentral